This 358-nucleotide unclassified non-coding RNA is filed under the name soil metagenome. RNAcentral's name for it is "partial contains 5.8S ribosomal RNA, internal transcribed spacer 2, and large subunit ribosomal RNA". The stretch from base 1 to 120 matches the Rfam family "5.8S ribosomal RNA", at positions 35 to 154 of the family's 154-position model. The record is from RNAcentral.
GAUGAAGAACGUAGCGAAAUGCGAUAAGUAAUGUGAAUUGCAGAAUUCAGUGAAUCAUCGAAUCUUUGAACGCACAUUGCGCCCGUCAGUAUUCUGGCGGGCAUGCCUGUUCGAGCGUCAUUACGCCCCUCAAGUCCCCUGUGGACUUGGUGUUGAGGAUCGGCGAGGCUGGUUUUCCAGCACAGCCGUCCCUUAAAUUAAUUGGCGGUCUCGCCGUGGCCCUCCUCUGCGCAGUAGUAAAACACUCGCAACAGGAGCCCGGCGCGGUCCACUGCCGUAAAACCCCCCAACUUUUUAUAGUUGACCUCGAAUCAGGUAGGACUACCCGCUGAACUUAAGCAUAUCAAUAAGCGGAGGA